GAUGAACGCUGGCGGCGUGCCUAAUACAUGCAAGUCGAGCGAACGGACGAGAAGCUUGCUUCUCUGAUGUUAGCGGCGGACGGGUGAGUAACACGUGGAUAACCUACCUAUAAGACUGGGAUAACUUCGGGAAACCGGAGCCUAUACCGGAUAAUAUUUUGAACCGCAUGGUUCAAAAGUGAAAGACGGUCUUGCUGUCACUUAUAGAUGGAUCCGCGCUGCAUUAGCUAGUUGGUAAGGUAACGGCUUACCAAGGCAACGAUGCAUAGCCGACCUGAGAGGGUGAUCGGCCACACUGGAACUGAGACACGGUCCAGACUCCUACGGGAGGCAGCAGUAGGGAAUCUUCCGCAAAGGGCGAAAGCCUGACGGAGCAACGCCGCGUGAGUGAUGAAGGUCUUCGGAUCGUAAAACUCUGUUAUUAGGGAAGAACAUAUGUGUAAGUAACUGUGCACAUCUUGACGGUACCUAAUCAGAAAGCCACGGCUAACUACGUG
Molecule: ribosomal RNA, 497 nt
Filed under: uncultured bacterium
Lineage: Bacteria
Description: partial 16S ribosomal RNA
Rfam family: Bacterial small subunit ribosomal RNA
Source: RNAcentral